This 433-nucleotide ribosomal RNA is filed under the name uncultured bacterium. RNAcentral describes it as "partial 16S ribosomal RNA". It matches the Rfam family "Bacterial small subunit ribosomal RNA", at positions 29 to 506 of the family's 1533-position model. The record is from RNAcentral.
AGCGAACGCUGGCGGCAGGCCUAACACAUGCAAGUCGAACGAACCCUUCGGGGGUACUGGCGGACGGGUGUGGCACACGUGGGAACGUGCCUGUAGGCUUGGAAUAACUCAGGGAAACGUGUGCUAAUACAGGAUGUGCUCCUCGGGGGCAGGGUAUGUCGACUUUGGAGAGGCCCGCGUCUGAUUAGCUGGUUGGGUGAGGUAAUGGCUCUCUCAGGCGACGAUCAGUAGCUGGUCUGGGAGCAUGAUCCGCCACAUUAGGACCGAGACCCGGCCCAAAAUCCGGCGGGAGGCAGCAGUGGGGAACCAUGCGCAAUGGGCGAAAGCCUAAGGCCUCCGUGCCGCGUGAAUGAUGAGGGGGGUAGGAUUGUAAACAUCUUUCACCGGGGACGAUAUUGCCGUUACCCGAAGAAAAGGCCCCGCCUACCUUCUU